CCUGGUGUAAGUCAGUGGUGUUAAGUGCAUUAGUCCAGGUGUCUAUGAGCUCAUACACUCAAUCACUGGUCUUUAAGGUCUGCGUGUCUCGCUCUGGAGGCUCCUUACAAAUUAUUUUAGUGGAUUUACAAAUUAUACACCCUUCCUAACGAGUGCUGGAGUCUGUGGUGUGUUAUUAUCUCAUAAAGCAAUGUUAUUUCUGGUCCAUAUUGAGGUCGACACCUCACAUAGUCUUUUCUGCCUUUCACUUUUCCGGAAAUCUCGAUCUCUCUGUUACCUCCUUUGUGCUUACAGGGUUACAGGUAUGGCUCGGAUUUUCCUCUGUUUUGCUUUUACUGAUCAAGUGCUAGUUUAAUCAGGCAGCUGUUUAGAUAGGAUGAUGAAUUGUAGGGCAGCAAAUAAAAAAAGCUUCUUGAAUCCCAGUUGCUAUGUGCCAGAGCUUGGUUUGCCUUCAGAUCCCUGCAUGAGCGCAAUUAAAACUAUUUUUAAUGCCGCGCUGGUUUUUCCAAGCCGGGGCGCCUGCUUAGGGACGCCAUCUUUUUUCACCAUAGAGAAGUCCUUAUUAUGCACUGUUACUCUCUGACUUUAUUUGCUUUGACAAGAUUUUAUUUCGUGGGUCAAGUUCAAAGAAUCUCUCCCCUCUCGCUCAUAAUCCCUGGUUCUGAAAAAAGGAAGGAAAGAAAAAGAAAAAGGACGAGAAAUAUGCAGAGGUUAUUUUCGCCCUGGAGGAAUGAAUCAGGAAAAAGAGAGAGAGAGCGAGAGAGAAGAGGCUGAUUGAAAGCAUUUAACCCUUUGUAGGCCAGCAGGGUAAUAACCUUUAUGAAAUAAACCCAGAUUGUGAACAUCAUCGAGGUCAGAUUGUUAAGAGCGGAGACGUGAUUCGAAGUCCACAUGUUCGAACUGUAAAAAAAAACCACAAGUAUUUUGUUCGUGUAGCGAAAACAGAUGUGUGUCUCUGAGAAAGAAGAAAGAAAAAAGAGCUACUGGACUUGUUGCGGCUGUCGAAGUAUUUUUCUCAGACCGCCCUGACCCGCAUUCCAAACAGCACCAGACUGUGUUUGAGAAUUAAAUCACAACUUUAUUUUAUUCAGAACUUUUUAAUUAAACAGUGAUGUGCGGUUCAUCACCAAAAAGUUCUGAAUUCUUCCUAAAAGUUUGACAUGUUGUUCUUUGAGAAAUAAUAAAAAUUGUGCUAUCAGAGAAAUGAAAGAAGUAGAGGUGUGCUGUUAUAGGAAAACAAUCAACUUCACGGAUUGAAGAGGAACUCCAUCACUAGGUGUUUUAUUGCGUAUGUAUAAUGAUGGAGCUGAUUCCCCACUCUAGAGCUUUGCGGCUAAAGUAAUGGCAGCCCAUAGCCACCAGUUCAGCACUGUGCACUUACUCACUGUAUGUGAUUUUGCUAAAUGCUAAACUAGCACCACUUUGCUAAUCAAAUCUUUUAAAAGAACAUUCUAAUUGGAUGACAUUUUCGUCUUUAACCUCUGCAGCAUUUAUUUCUCGCUGUAAACGACGUGAUCUUCAUACUGGUCUCAAAUCAAGACUUAGAUCCAGGUUUUCUUCCUUUUUUCAGAAGCACCAAUGCUUCGUACGUAGCCACGAUGAUUAACGGCUCACUAGCUCAUGCUUACUUAGCGAUCAUGCUCACCCUUCCUGAAAGUGAGCACAGGAGCUCAGAAACUUUCGUCCACUUUGAUUUAUUUUUUUUUGUAUUUUUUGUGAAGGCGGAUUUUAACGAAUAGCUGUGGAUUUAACGCGUCAUGUUUCAUAAAACUGUACAGACUCUCUCUCUCGCUCUCGCUCACUCUCUCUCUUUCUCUCUCUCUCGCUCUCACAUGCGCUCUCUCUCUCUCACUCUCUCUCUCGCUCUCUCUUGCUCUCACAUGCACUCUCUCUCUCACUCUCUCUCUCUGUUUCUUUCUCUCUCUUUCUCUCUCUCUGGUGGAUUUUAUUCUCCAAUGUUCACUGAUUGAGUCCAGACUGUUUUUUUUUUUGUUCCGAAAUUCAUGACGAAUGUUUUUAAUCAUCAGCUGCACCGCUAAAGUUUCAGAGAAAGAAAGCAGGAGUGGAAAUUACCGAAAAGACAUUUCGCGGUAUUUUUUUUUGCAUUAUAAUGACUUGGUGACUCAGAUGUUGAUGUUUUGUAUUUAUUUGUAGAAGGUUUAUUCGGUGGGUCUGCACUGAUCCAGACCAGAAUAAUUAGCAGAAAUGGUGUUGAGGUGGGUUUAAAAAAUUUUUUAUAAAUAAAAAAAAUGCUGUUUUGGUAUGUCCUCAAAUCUUUAGUUCCAUUUAGAGGAAGUGGAACCUUCCCAAUAUCAAUCCUUAUUUAAUUAUUAAUUAUUUAAUUAUUUAAUUUUACUAAAGAACACACACUUGCUUAUUUUGGGAAAAGAAACAAACAAAAAAAGCCAUAACGUCUAUAAAUCUCUAGCAUUUUGAUUAUUAUCUUUACCUCCAGCUCUAAAACAUCAUCAUCACGACCCUGUAAACCUUUCCUUUAUAUUCUGGGUUAAACCAGAUAAACCCGAGAGAUCCACUGCAACCAAAGCCACUUUUUCUUCAUCUUUUUUAUUUUAUUUCAGGAUCUCAUUGUUGUGUCAUGUACGUGCCUUGAAAAUGAAUUUACAAUGUAGUCCUCGACACCUUUAAUGUUUUUUGCACAAAUUGUACAUAACGAAGUUUUUUGUUUGUUUGUUUUUGUUUUUUUUAAAUAAAGAACUUGGAUUUGAACGGUGGUGAGUUUGUGCUUGUGUUUAAACCUCUGAAUAAAACAGCAGAAGGUUCUUCUUUAGAAAGAUUUUAAGAUUUCAAAAGGCGGUGCUCGAGCUAACAUUAGCAACUCAGCUCGAACGAUCCAGUU
Ictalurus punctatus (channel catfish) is the source of this 2857-nucleotide long non-coding RNA. Lineage: Eukaryota; Metazoa; Chordata; Actinopteri; Siluriformes; Ictaluridae. The record is from Ensembl.